GCCUGUUCAUUGGAUGAUCGAAUCUCGCGUUUCGUCAUCUCGCUUUCGGUUCCCUGUGUUGCAUACCUUCGAGACGGUAUCCUGUCGGCUAGAAUCGCCCCGUUUCGCCCGACGUCGCGAGCAACAUCGCGACCGAGGGCGAACCGAAAAACACUCAUCGCGUUCCACCCCGUUCGCGUGACGCGCUGCGGGACACGGCCCGCGAUGACGUGCUCGAAUUCUCGGGUGCGGAACACGAUGCGGGCACGAGGACGUCGAUCCUCCGUUUGCCCCCGAACAAGCGUUCUACGCUCUGUGCGAACGACGUUCUUCCUCGU
RNAcentral lists this unclassified non-coding RNA (317 nucleotides) under Fraxinus angustifolia. RNAcentral describes it as "partial external transcribed spacer". Lineage: Eukaryota; Viridiplantae; Streptophyta; Magnoliopsida; Lamiales; Oleaceae. The record is from RNAcentral.